RNAcentral lists this ribosomal RNA (440 nucleotides) under uncultured bacterium. Its description in RNAcentral is "partial 16S ribosomal RNA". It matches the Rfam family "Bacterial small subunit ribosomal RNA", at positions 338 to 795 of the family's 1533-position model. The record is from RNAcentral.
CCUACGGGAGACAGCAGUAGGGAAUAUUGCUCAAUGGGGGAAACCCUGAUGCAGCAACGCCGCGUGGAGGAUGAAGUUUUUCGGUUUGUAAACCCCUUUUGUUAGAGAAGAUAAUGACGGUAUCUAACGAAUAAGCACCGGCUAACUCCGUGCCAGCAGCCGCGGUAAUACGGAGGGUGCAAGUGUUACCCGGAUUUACUGGGCGUAAAGGGCGCGUAGGCGGGAUAGCAAGUCAGAUGUGAAAUCCUAUGGCUUAACCAUAGAACUGCUUUUGAAACUGUUAUGCUAGAGUAUAGGAGAGGUAGGUGGAAUUCUUGGUGUAGCGGUAAAAUCCGUAGAGAUCAAGAGGAACACUCAUUGCGAAGGCGACCUGCUAGAACAUAACUGACGCUGAGGCGCGAAAGCGUGGGGAGCAAACAGGAUUAGAUACCCCUGUAGUC